AGAGUUUGAUCCUGGCUCAGGACGAACGCUGACGGUGUGCUUUAGGCAUGCAAGUCGAACGAGAAAGCCCUUCGGGGUGAGUAAAGUGGCGAACGGGUGAGUAACACGUGGGCAACCUGCCCCUCGCAGGGGGACAACCGGAGGAAACUCCGGCUAAUACCCCGUACGCUUGCUGGAUCGCAUGGUCCGGCAAGGAAAGGUAGCUUCGGCCAUCCGGCGAGGGAUGGGCCCGCGUUGCAUUAGCUAGUUGGUGGGGUAACGGCCUACCAAGGCGACGAUGCGUAGCUGGUCUGAGAGGAUGAUCAGCCACACUGGGACUGAGACACGGCCCAGACUCCUACGGGAGGCAGCAGCCAGGAAUCUUGGGCAAUGGGCGAAAGCCUGACCCAGCAACACCGUGUGGGCGAUGAAGGCCUUAGGGUCGUAAAGCCCUGUUGAUAGGGACGAAGGGCGAAGGGUUAAUAGCCCCUAGCUUGACGGUACCUUUCGAGGAAGCCCCGGCUAACUACGUGCCAGCAGCCGCGGUAAUACGUAGGGGGCGAGCGUUGUCCGGAAUUAUUGGGCGUAAAGAGCGUGUAGGCGGUUCGGUAAGUCUGCUGUGAAAUCCUGGGGCUCAACCCUGGGCGUGCAGCGGAUACUGCCGGGCUAGAGGGUGGUAGAGGCGAGUGGAAUUCCGAGUGUAGCGGUGAAAUGCGCAGAUAUUCGGAGGAACACCAGUAGCGAAGGCGGCUCGCUGGGCCACACCUGACGCUGAGACGCGAAAGCGUGGGGAGCGAACAGGAUUAGAUACCCCGGUAGUCC
RNAcentral lists this ribosomal RNA (801 nucleotides) under uncultured Rubrobacter sp. Its description in RNAcentral is "bacterial SSU rRNA". It matches the Rfam family "Bacterial small subunit ribosomal RNA", at positions 8 to 796 of the family's 1533-position model. Lineage: Bacteria; Bacillati; Actinomycetota; Rubrobacteria; Rubrobacterales; Rubrobacteraceae. The record is from RNAcentral.